AGUGAACGCUGGCGGUAGGCCUAACACAUGCAAGUCGAACGGCAGCACAGGAGAGCUUGCUCUCUGGGUGGCGAGUGGCGGACGGGUGAGGAAUACAUCGGAAUCUACUUUUUCGUGGGGGAUAACGGAGGGAAACUUACGCUAAUACCGCAUACGACCUACGGGUGGAAGCAGGGGAUCUUCGGACCUUGCGCGAUUGAAUGAGCCGAUGUCGGAUUAGCUAGUUGGCGGGGUAAAGGCCCACCAAGGCGACGAUCCGUAGCUGGUCUGAGAGGAUGAUCAGCCACACUGGAACUGAGACACGGUCCAGACUCCUACGGGAGGCAGCAGUGGGGAAUAUUGGACAAUGGGCGCAAGCCUGAUCCAGCCAUACCGCGUGGGUGAAGAAGGCCUUCGGGUUGUAAAGCCCUUUUGUUGGGAAAGAAAUCCAGCUGGUUAAUACCCGGUUGGGAUGACGGUACCCAAAGAAUAAGCACCGGCUAACUUCGUGCCAGCAGCCGCCGUAA
This 506-nucleotide ribosomal RNA is filed under the name uncultured bacterium. RNAcentral describes it as "partial 16S ribosomal RNA". It matches the Rfam family "Bacterial small subunit ribosomal RNA", at positions 29 to 523 of the family's 1533-position model. The record is from RNAcentral.